This 303-nucleotide ribosomal RNA is filed under the name uncultured bacterium. RNAcentral's name for it is "bacterial SSU rRNA". It matches the Rfam family "Bacterial small subunit ribosomal RNA", at positions 355 to 658 of the family's 1533-position model. The record is from RNAcentral.
UGGGGAAUAUUGCACAAUGGGGGGAACCCUGAUGCAGCAACGCCGCGUGAGUGAAGAAGUACCUCGGUAUGUAAAGCUCUAUCAGCAGGGAAGAAAAGGAACCUCGGUUCCACAUGACGGUACCUGACCAAGAAGCACCGGCUAAAUACGUGCCAGCAGCCGCGGUAAUACGUAUGGUGCAAGCGUUAUCCGGAUUUACUGGGUGUAAAGGGAGCGCAGGCGGCGCGGCAAGUCAGAUGUGAAAGCCCGGGGCUCAACCCCGGGACUGCAUUUGAAACUGCCGGGCUAGAGUAUCGGAGAGGC